UGCAAUGAUUUCAUAAUUUGUGACUUAGUCUGUUCUCAGUGACAGUUUGCUGUUGUCAGGAAACUGGUUUGGAUGAGGAGGUUGACAACAAUUGUUACUGAGCA
Small nucleolar RNA from Jaculus jaculus (lesser Egyptian jerboa), 104 nucleotides. Its record names the gene SNORD16. It matches the Rfam family "Small nucleolar RNA SNORD16". From Rfam's summary of the family: U16 is a member of the C/D class of snoRNA which contain the C (UGAUGA) and D (CUGA) box motifs. U81 acts as a guanine methylation guide and is found in an intron of ribosomal proteins L1 gene in animals. The record is from Ensembl. Lineage: Eukaryota; Metazoa; Chordata; Mammalia; Rodentia; Dipodidae.